Molecule: long non-coding RNA, 1230 nt
Filed under: Coturnix japonica (Japanese quail)
Lineage: Eukaryota; Metazoa; Chordata; Aves; Galliformes; Phasianidae
Description: lncRNA (ENSCJPG00005019693.1)
Source: RNAcentral
CUGAGUCAUAGAAAUUCAAAACAGACCAAAAUAAAUCCUGUCUCUGUCUCCAAAUCUCAGUUCUUCAGAGAGGGUUCCUUCUGCUUUUCUAAAUCAUGUGGAUGGGCCAUGGAAGACCAGCUCUUGCCGACAGGGCAUUUCCCAGUCUGCUUUCCAAGCGAGGAGCCAAUUCUGACACCAUCCAAAACUUCAGGUGUUAUUCUUAUUGUCGCUCUCAGCAGUGUCAACUACAGCUUUUGUUUCUACUGUGACUCACAAAUACUCCACCAGCAGACGCUUCUGCAACAGCUACCUUGAAUCAUCACCUUUCCACUCACUGCCAUUUACAUUCAGUCUUUGGGCAAUCAUUUUUGGCCUGCAAAAAUUAUCGAGCUGGCAGGAGCACUGCACUUGAAAUAGGACUCUGUACCACCAUGCAGGUGUAAAACAUCUAGAAGAGAUUUUGCUGUCAAUGGGGCUUUACCCCCUAUGUUAAUGCAAGCAGUGUAUAAUUAAUUUGGAAUUUUCCUGGCCUAUAUAAAAAAGCUGUGAUGAUCUUCUGGUUUAUUAUCAUUAUUGUUAUUAAUAUUCAAUUUUGAUUUAUUGUGGAAAAUGUUUCACUAUAUAUAUAUAUAUAUAUAUAUAUAUAUAUAUAUAUAUAUAUAAAAAUAACGCAGUACCUCUAUCAAAUUCUCCAAAAGGAGGGUUCCUAGUUUGGGUUCACCUUUUCUGAUAUCCAUUUUCUCUUUUGUUAUCAAAUACAGUGAAUCUCAAUGCACAGCCUCACAGAAAUUAUUUUGCCAUGAAACACAAGAGAAUUAUUUCAUCUGCCAUGAAGUGACUUGUGGACAUCCUACGUGCCUUAAGAAAUGCAGGCCAAUGGAAAAAGGCUUGAACAGGGGCCAUAGAUAAGUAAUGGCAGGUAAGGAAUAGAUUAGUGCAUCCAACAGAUCAAAUAUACAUAUAUUUUUCAUUUAUUAACAGGUUAUCAAGAUACUGAUUUGGAUACAAACAGUAAAAAUCUGGUGCUGCACAAUUUUAUUUUCCUUGCUUCCAAUUACUGCAUGCAGUAUAUAGCACAGUCCCGGUCAAUCACUUGCAAAUUGCUUGCAAAUCAACCUGAGAAUAUCGAGAGAAACAUUUGGAAGCCAGGGUGCUCACAGUUUGCCACAGUGUUUGAAAGAGAAAACUACAAAACAUCAUGAUCUCAAAGAAAAUAAAAUCAAGAAUGUUUGUGGUUUUUUUUGUGCC